GAGUGGCGAACGGGUGAGUAACACGUGGGUAACCUGCCCAUCAGAAGGGGAUAACACUUGGAAACAGGUGCUAAUACCGUAUAACAAUCGAAACCGCAUGGUUUUGAUUUGAAAGGCGCUUUCGGGUGUCGCUGAUGGAUGGACCCGCGGUGCAUUAGCUAGUUGGUGAGGUAACGGCUCACCAAGGCCACGAUGCAUAGCCGACCUGAGAGGGUGA
RNAcentral lists this ribosomal RNA (217 nucleotides) under Enterococcus faecium. Its description in RNAcentral is "partial 16S ribosomal RNA". It matches the Rfam family "Bacterial small subunit ribosomal RNA", at positions 93 to 303 of the family's 1533-position model. Lineage: Bacteria; Bacillati; Bacillota; Bacilli; Lactobacillales; Enterococcaceae. The record is from RNAcentral.